CUGAAGGAAACUUUGCAGCACUAAAUACUGACUGUUCAUAACAUGGUGGGCACCUGCUAUGAAAGCCUGAAAAAUUAGGACAAAGCAUCUUACGUGUAAUAGAGUGAAGAAGGGGAACUGAAAGGAAGAACUACCUGGAAAGGGCAGGGAUGCGUUUCCUGUGUUUUGGCUUCCUGUCUCACUCUCCCAGUGGAAAGACAAUCAGAGUUCCUGUAGACAAACCCUCUAGUACAAGAUGUACCUGUGACUUCCACAGUGACUGCUUGCCAUGGGCCAGGGUGAUGCUCCACUGGUGCAGAGAGGAGGCAGCAAGAUGAGACUAUGCAAGGUGGGCUGCAAGAGGAGACUAAGCUCUCACUGCAUCGAGAUUUUUUGUGAGCUACUAGGAGGGCACAUUUACGUUUACUGUCAACAUCUCCAGAGCUGGCAAAUGUCCCAAAUCAAGGAGUUAACAGAAGGCAAUGAAGAACUUUGGAUGGCGAUAGUUAUUUUCUAU
Molecule: long non-coding RNA, 496 nt
Organism: Cuculus canorus (common cuckoo)
Lineage: Eukaryota; Metazoa; Chordata; Aves; Cuculiformes; Cuculidae
Exons: 4
Source: RefSeq, a predicted model, not a curated record